UGAACGCUAGCUACAGGCUUUAACACAUGCAAGUCGAGGGGAAACGGCAUUGAGUGCUUGCACUCUUUGGACGUCGACCGGCGCACGGGUGAGUAACGCGUAUCCAACCUUCCCAUUACUGUGGGAUAACCUGCCGAAAGGCCGACUAAUACCGCAUAGUCUUCGAUGACGGCAUCAGAUUUGAAGUAAAGAUUUAUCGGUAAUGGAUGGGGAUGCGUCUGAUUAGCUUGUUGGCGGGAUAACGGCCCACCAAGGCGACGAUCAGUAGGGGUUCUGAGAGGAAGGUCCCCCACAUUGGAACUGAGACACGGUCCAAACUCCUACGGGAGGCAGCAGUGAGGAAUAUUGGUCAAUGGACGGAAGUCUGAACCAGCCAAGUAGCGUGCAGGAUGACGGCCCUAUGGGUUGUAAACUGCUUUUGUAUGGGGAUAAAGUCAAUCACGUGUGAUUGUUUGCAGGUACCAUACGAAUAAGGACCGGCUAAUUCCGUGCCAGCAGCCGCGGUAAUACGGAAGGUCCAGGCGUUAUCCGGAUUUAUUGGGUUUAAAGGGAGCGUAGGCUGGAUAUUAAGUGUGUUGUGAAAUGUAGACGCUCAACGUCUGACUUGCAGCGCAUACUGGUUUCCUUGAGUACGCACAACGUUGGCGGAAUUCGUCGUGUAGCGGUGAAAUGCUUAGAUAUGACGAAGAACUCCGAUUGCGAAGGCAGCUGACGGGAGCGCAACUGACGCUUAAGCUCGAAGGUGCGGGUAUCAAACAGGAUUAGAUACCCUGGUAGUCCGCACAGUAAACGAUGGAUGCCCGCUGUUGGUACCUGGUAUCAGCGGGUAAGCGAAAGCAUUAAGCAUCCCACCUGGGGAGUACGCCGGCAACGGUGAAACUCAAAGGAAUUGACGGGGGCCCGCACAAGCGGAGGAACAUGUGGUAUAAUUCAGAUGAUACGCGAGGAACCUUACCCGGGCUUGAAUUGCAGAGGAAGGAUUUAGAGAUAAUGACGCCCUUCCGGGUCUCUAUGAAGGUGCUGCAUGGUUGUCGUCAGAUCGUGCCGUGAGGUGUCGGUUUAAGUGCCAUAACGAGCGCAACCCCUCUCUUCAGUUGCCUUCAGGUGAUGGUGGGCACUCCGGAGACCAAGCCACUCUAAGGCGUGAGGAAGCAGGGGAUGAAGUUAAAUCAGCACGGUCCUUACGUCUGGGGGUACACACGUGUUACAAUGUCCGCUACAGAGGGAUGGUGUAAUCCAAAAUGCAUCAAAUCUAGAAAGCCGGUUCCACUUCGGACUGGGGUAUGCAACCCGACCCCAAGCAGCCGGAUUCGUUAGUAAUCGCGCAUCAGCCAUGGCGCGGUGAAUAAGUUCCCGGCCCUUGUAAUCACCGCCCGUCA
Molecule: ribosomal RNA, 1379 nt
Filed under: uncultured bacterium
Lineage: Bacteria
Description: 16S ribosomal RNA
Rfam family: Bacterial small subunit ribosomal RNA
Source: RNAcentral